AAUGGAGAAACAAAGAAAGUAAACACAAACCUUACCAUUGUCAUAAUGGUUAAUGGAAGGUGAAAGAGUAUACCAUGAAAGCGAAACUUACCUAUUGUGUGACCAAGGUUAAUUGAAAGUGAAAGAAUAUUCCAUGAAACUAGGUCCAACAUGUUAAAAAUAUAAAAAAUCCAAAAGGCACCAAUGCCUUCGACCACUAGGGAUUCAUCAUCUUAUCUAAUCCAAUCUUCG
Molecule: unclassified non-coding RNA, 231 nt
Filed under: Hevea brasiliensis (rubber tree)
Lineage: Eukaryota; Viridiplantae; Streptophyta; Magnoliopsida; Malpighiales; Euphorbiaceae
Source: RNAcentral